RNAcentral lists this long non-coding RNA (2366 nucleotides) under Ananas comosus (pineapple). Its description in RNAcentral is "long non-coding RNA (ACOM_LNC004123)". The record is from RNAcentral. Lineage: Eukaryota; Viridiplantae; Streptophyta; Magnoliopsida; Poales; Bromeliaceae.
CCUAAAAUCCAAAUGAAAUGCAUGAAAAAGUAAGAAUAUAUUAUUUCAGUAAUAAAAUACCUCUUUUGAUAUAUAUAUCUAUAGAAUUGAGCUUCUAUGCUUUUAAAAGUACCAAAUUAUUGGUGCUUGUAGGUUUUUAGCCAUUAGAUUAAGAAAUAUGCGGUUAGGAUGAUGUGGGCCCUCUAGGGUUGAGUGAGUGGUUGGUUGAAUAGUAUAAUCUAAUGGCUGAAAAUGAUCCGAGAAGUAGAUCUAACGGUAAAAAACUUAUAAGCACCAAGUGGUUGGUGUUUUUACAAGCACCAUAACUGGACUAUAUAUAUAUAUAUAUAUAUAAUAUACUUUUGAGAAGUUACUUUAAAUUUCAAAUUAUUAAUGACAUACUCUUGAAAUUAACGUUUGUUUGAUAAAUCAAAACUACAGUGUAAGUAAAUCUCCCUCGUUUUUUGAAAUGCUCAUAUUCACCCACCAGCUUUCAAUGAAACAAACAUAUGUUUAUACGUUGAAUACUACACAAUUUUCUAGGAGCAAAACUUAAAAUUCUCCUUAAUAAUUUUCAGGUUAUACUUCUAAAAUAAAAUCUGAUAAUUGCUGCUGACACAGUGCCAUGUAACAAAAGAAAGUUUAUUGUAUAAUACUUUCAUCAUAUUAUUUAUUUCCGAUCAAUCAUAUUUCUUAUUUUGAAAGAAAAAUAAAAAAUAAAAAACUAUUUUUUUUAAAAUUACAAAAGAACGUGUAAACUUUUAAGAAAAUUUUUUGAUUGGUUGGGAGGAUAAGUCAUAAGUGUGAAAAAUUCUAGAAUGCAACGGAUAUAUUAGUGACGUGGCGUAACAAACCAAUCAAGUUAAUCCUUUUAAGAAUAUAUGUCCCAUCAUGAUUGUAAAAAAAUAUUUUUAUUGUACUUUUGUUUGAAAAGAAGAAAUAUGAUUGGCUUGUUGUUGAUAACGUGAUGCAAGUGUGACAGUGUAGAAUUUCUCCAUAAGUGUUAGGUUCUAAAAUUUUUCACCUAACAGGAGAGUGGGAUCCUACGGCCCGUAAUCACUAACAAGUUACUUUCAUGAGGUGGCAAAAUAAAACCCGGUAAUUAAUGACUGUCCUAGUUUUUGCCCAAUCGAGCAAAUGUUGGGUCGGAUUCAACUCAAAAUAAGAUGAUGUGAGACCAAUGCCCUUUUAACAAGUCCAAGAGGCCUCCUUGCUCCAAAAAAAAUUAAUUUUUUUAAAAGAUAAGCUUUAAAUACCACUCAUAUGAUUUCGUACUUUUUUUAUUUUAGUACCAUAUGUUUUAAGCGUAUCACUUUAGUACCCUUAAUUUUUUUUCUCUUUCUGUCAGCACCUAUAUUCAGUUUUGGUUAAAUUAUAUAUAAAAAACUUCAGAUGCCUCACCUAUGGUUUAUCGAAUAUUUAUUUUAGUACUCUGAGAUUUUAACUUUGUCACUGAAUAAUUAAAAAAAGGGAAAACUUCAAAAAACCCCCUGUGGUUUCGUAGUUUCUCACUUCGCCCCCCUAUGGUUUAAACUGUAUCAGUUUGCCCCCCUGUGGUUUCUUUUUUCUUUUUUUCUUAUCAAUUUUAUUAUUUUUUUUCUUAAAUCAGUGAUAAAGUUAAUUUAAAGGGUACUAAAAGUGAAUAUUUGAUAAAUCUAGAAGGGUAUCUAAAGUUUUUUGUAUAUAAUUUAAUGAAAUAUUAAUGAAAAAGCUAUCGAAAAGAUAAAAACGAAACCACAGGGGGGCAAUUUGAUACAUUUUAAACCACAUGGGGGCAAAAUGAAAAACUACGAAACCACAGGGGUGUUUUUUGAAGUUUUUCCUUAAAAAAAUUAACAUAGAAAAUAUCGAAAAGGAAAAAAAUAAAAGCAAAGAAUACGUACUAAAGUGAUAUAUUUUAAAAUAUAGGGAAAACUUCAAAUACCUCCAUUGUGGUUUCACUUUUUCUCACUUUAGUAUCCUUUGGUUUAAAGUGUAUCAAGUUAGUGCUCUGUGGUUUUGCACUUUUUUCACUUUAGUACCAUGUGGUUUAAAGUGUAUCAAGUUAGUACCCUGUGGUUUCGCACUUUAUCACUUUAGUACCCUGUGGUUUAAAAACCACAUGGUACUAACUUGAUACAAAAAUAAAACCACAGAGUACUAACUUGAUACAAAAAUAAACCAUAGAGUACUAACUUGAUACACUUUAAACCUCAUGAUACUAAAGUAAUAAAGUGAGAAACCACAUGGUACUAACUUGAUACACUUUAAACCACAGGGUACUAAAAUAAAAAAGUACGAAAUCACAGGAGAUAUUUUUAAAAUUUUUUUUAAAAUAUAUAAUACUAAAAUAAAAAAAUACGAAAUUACAAAGAAUAAUAUCUAAAGUUUUCUCUUUUUUAAAUUCU